GACGAACGCUGGCGGCGUGCCUAAUACAUGCAAGUCGAACGCAGUGGGGACGGGUGAGUAACACGUGGGUAACCUCCCAUCAGAGGGGAUAACACUUGGAAACAGGUGCUAAACCGAUACUGAUGGAUGGACCCGAGGUGCAUUAGCUAGUUGGUGAGGUAACGGCUCACCAAGGCCACGAUGCAUAGCCGACCUGGAAGGAAGAUCGGCCACACUGGGACUGAGAAACGGCGCGGACUCCUACGGGAGGCAGCAGUAGGGAAUCUUCGACAAUGGGCGAAAGUCUAACCGAGCAACGCCGCAUGAGUGAAGAAGGUUUUCGGAUCGUAAAACUCUUUUGUUAGAGAAGCGAUAUCUAACCAGAAAGCCACGGCUAACUACGUGCCAGCCACCGCGGUAAUAC
RNAcentral lists this ribosomal RNA (403 nucleotides) under uncultured bacterium. Its description in RNAcentral is "partial 16S ribosomal RNA". It matches the Rfam family "Bacterial small subunit ribosomal RNA", at positions 28 to 526 of the family's 1533-position model. The record is from RNAcentral.